GAACAUAACGCGAAACGGGCUAAAAUAUCACUCCCAAGCAGCAGAGAAGACAUAAUUUGUGUUUUGCGGGUUACAGAAGAAUUCUGAUAUAUCUUUCCUCCGGGUCACGAUUGGCGUAAAAGCCUCGUCUAAGAUCCAUUUUACUGCCGCCGCAGAGAAGUGCCCUCUGGGGCUUAUAAAUUGGAAUACCUCGCUGGAAACGACGUUUGGAAAAUUCCAAAUCACCCUUACCGUACGGCGGGGGCAUGAUCAGCAGAUUGUGCCCCACAUUAAUAUUGGCGUUUAAAUAAGCAAGAUCCAAGGCGUUUAAAAGGAGAUUCGACCCACAUAACCUACAGCGAAGGCAUCACGUGGCAUGGCAGUCUAAAC
Molecule: non-coding RNA, 369 nt
Organism: Drosophila takahashii
Lineage: Eukaryota; Metazoa; Arthropoda; Insecta; Diptera; Drosophilidae
Source: RefSeq, a predicted model, not a curated record